This 125-nucleotide small RNA is filed under the name Marmota monax (woodchuck). The record is from RNAcentral. Lineage: Eukaryota; Metazoa; Chordata; Mammalia; Rodentia; Sciuridae.
GCUGGGUGAGGUGGCGCUCACCUGUCAUCCCAGUGGCUCAGAAGGCUGAGACAGGAGGAUCGCGAGUUCCAAGCCAGCCUCAGCAAUGGUGAGGUGCUAGGCAACUCAGUGACACCCUGUUUCUA